GCUUAGUCCCUGGAAGCUCUGGUUGCUUGGCAUUGUUGUACAUAUGGGGUCUCGAGCCCCUUCAAGCUCUUCCAGUUCUUUCUCUGAUUCCUUCAACGGGGGUCCUAUUCUCAGUUCAGUGGUUUGCUGCUGGCAUUCGCCUCUGUAUUUUCAGCUGAAUAUUUUUAAUAGAGUUCACAACCUUCAUAAUCGACACCGUUCCUAAGGGACCAGGCUGCACAGGUGAUAGCUUCCCAUUCUCUAAGGCUUAAGUGUGUAUGAGAGAAAGUAAAGAACUGUGCAAGCUGGUCCUCUAGUGCUUAGGCUUCACGAAGAGGGAGGUGCUGUUUCUGAAUCAGCCCGUUGACCUAAGACUUAGCUGGAGAUAACUUGGUUUAAAAAUUUUGGCUUUGUUAUAAAAAUGGAAACCAUCAAAACAGAUUAUUUUUUUCCAAGAACAACACAGAAACUGAGAAUUGAGUUUAUACAGUGAAUUUGACCAGGUUUAAGUACUAGAAUUAAUGUCUGUUUACAACAGCUUCCCUCCCACCUCUUCAGUCAUGAUACUCAUUCCAUGUCAUGAGACCAAAGCAGAGGGCUCAGCACUGGUGGUACAUUCUUAGUAUUCUGCCUUUGGUUUUUCUGCUUCAGAGGAACUUUGGAUAAAGUACUUAGCCAUACAGUGGCUUGUUGUGUCAGCGGGUACUUACAGUUCACUUGGUUGGGAACACUUAACUAAAUCACUGUCAAUAGAAACAUGGGGUUUGUCUGCAGCACC
RNAcentral lists this long non-coding RNA (757 nucleotides) under Rattus norvegicus (Norway rat). RNAcentral's name for it is "long non-coding RNA NONRATT013411". Lineage: Eukaryota; Metazoa; Chordata; Mammalia; Rodentia; Muridae. The record is from RNAcentral.